Molecule: signal recognition particle RNA, 275 nt
Filed under: Fonsecaea multimorphosa CBS 102226
Lineage: Eukaryota; Fungi; Ascomycota; Eurotiomycetes; Chaetothyriales; Herpotrichiellaceae
Description: Fungal signal recognition particle RNA
Rfam family: Fungal signal recognition particle RNA
Source: Rfam by way of RNAcentral
UGGCUGUCAUGGUCAAAAAGUUAGAAGGUUCUCUUGAGCCCGUGGGCGUCGCUUCACACUCCCACUUGUUCAGUCGUGCCUCGCUCGGAAUUUCGGGUCGUUCAUCGUACUCGUGUGUGCAGACCACGAUCGCUACGGAACGUUAAGCCAUCGGAAGUGAUACUUGAGGGAAGCAAUUCUGCAGAGGCCCUUCCACCCGGAGUUGGCGAUGUGAGAUUACACACUGUCAAGAUAUGCGAAGUCCCAGGCUCGAUGUGGGAAAUCGACUUUUUUUU